Molecule: small RNA, 107 nt
Filed under: Marmota monax (woodchuck)
Lineage: Eukaryota; Metazoa; Chordata; Mammalia; Rodentia; Sciuridae
Source: RNAcentral
GCUGGGUAUGGUGAUGCACACCUGUAAUCCCAGUGGCUUGGGAGGCUGAAGCUGGAGAAUCACAGAUUUGAGGCUAGCCUCAGCAACUUUGCGAGACCCUGUCUCAA